This 176-nucleotide small nucleolar RNA is filed under the name Lachancea fermentati. RNAcentral describes it as "Small nucleolar RNA snR32". It matches the Rfam family "Small nucleolar RNA snR32". Lineage: Eukaryota; Fungi; Ascomycota; Saccharomycetes; Saccharomycetales; Saccharomycetaceae. The record is from Rfam by way of RNAcentral.
AACAUCAUUUUUAAUCGCUCACGCUGGUCCUACAUUUAAUUCAGAGGAGGAAGUCGUUUUCUAGUUCCUUCUGGUAUUCAGGACCGGCAAGAAGCGUAGAGGAAAUCAAGAUCGUUGCUGGGCGCCUGAUGUUGAUUCAUAGUAUGAUACAUUGGGAAUCAGCUGUUUCUACAUUC